Molecule: long non-coding RNA, 528 nt
Organism: Pundamilia nyererei
Lineage: Eukaryota; Metazoa; Chordata; Actinopteri; Cichliformes; Cichlidae
Exons: 5
Source: RefSeq, a predicted model, not a curated record
UUAUCACGCGAGAUUUCCGGUCUUCUUCUCCAGGCCGUAGAUAAGCGCGAGCAACUUUCUUGACUCUCGCCAUGCAGUUCAUUUUUGUUAAAUUAUAUUCAUGUAUACAUGUUGAGGUUGCUGCUGGUGACCCACCGUGAGCAGGUUUGGAUGAUGCAGAGGGAUUCGUUUGUCUGCCUGCAACAGGGCGAAGUUUCAUUUUCUGAUUGAAGAUUCGUGGCUCAUCUGUUCUCCUUUCCACUGAGUGCCUAAGGAAGGAACCACAGUCAGAAGGUGCUGUAGCAGCAGAAGAAAGGAUGAAGAUUUUCUGGGCUUGAAGACAGCAGGUCCUGAGCAGAUUGAGCUGCUGUGGAAGGACGGAAUACCAACCUCAAGUGUGAUGCCAGAGGAGACUAUUAAAUUCAGUAUUUGUCUUUAUGAAAGAUGAAAACCAUGUUGGAUCAGAAACGUGUUUUUUAAUAAAACUACGAGUUAUAAAAUUGAAGUAUAGAAAGUAACGUGAUUCCAUAUGUGCUGGGAGGAAAGCCC